UACGUAGGGGCCAAGCGUUGUCCGGAGUUACUGGGCGUAAAGCGUGCGCAGGCGGCUCGUUGCGCCCGACGUGAAAGCCCCCGGCUCAACCGGGGAGGGUCGUCGGGGACGGGCGAGCUUGAGGGUGGCAGGGGCUGGUGGAACUCCCGGUGUAGUGGUGAAAUGCGUAGAGAUCGGGAAGAACACCCGUGGCGAAGGCGGCCAGCUGGGCCACACCUGACGCUGAGGCACGAAGGCGUGGGGAGCGAACGGGAUUAGAUACCCCGGUAGUCCACGCAGUAAACGAUGCAGACUAGGCGUGGGGGGACUUGACCCCCUCCGUGCCGGAGCCAACGCGGGAAGUCUGCCGCCUGGGGAGUACGGCCGCAAGGCUAAA
Molecule: ribosomal RNA, 376 nt
Filed under: uncultured bacterium
Lineage: Bacteria
Description: bacterial SSU rRNA
Rfam family: Bacterial small subunit ribosomal RNA
Source: RNAcentral